RNAcentral lists this long non-coding RNA (1733 nucleotides) under Gallus gallus (chicken). Lineage: Eukaryota; Metazoa; Chordata; Aves; Galliformes; Phasianidae. The record is from RNAcentral.
CGCGUUGAACUCGAACUCCGUGGAGCACUGCUGGAACUCACAGCCGCUGCCGCUCUCCUCCCCGCUGCUCUCUUCACGUCAAUGAAGUCGACGUCGUUCCCACUGUAUGCAUUCUUCAGCUUGUUGGUCAUCACCCUCAGAACCAUGAUUUGCCGACGAAUCACCAUGUCUGGCUUGGUAAUAUCGACUUCCACCUCAGGGUUGUUCACUUGACUUGCUAAGCCGUUUCCAGUCACCGCAAAGUCGUACCUGCUCUUGGCGCUCCCGUUCCAGCACUCAUUCUCGUUGCCCGUGCCCACAGAUAUCUUUUCAUCACUGCAAAUGUUGCCAGGGAGAGAUGACCAAAAUUUUUUGGCUUGCUUCAGCUUUUCUUUCACAUCAGUAACCAGCCUGUCCAAGCUCGUGCCUGCAGCUGUGGUCGGCCGCUCUUCGGGGUUGUAGGGUCUGAAGCGAGCACUGAAACCACCCUCAGAGACGGAGCGAGCGGUUCGGCCCUGUGCGAGUGUUUUUGGCUGGCCACAUCCCUGGAAAACCUUCUGAGACACUUGCAUGCUGUUCUCCUGCAUAUUCAUGAUUGCAUCUGAAAUUUUCACAUCAAUGGGGUCCAUGACUGACUCAAUGUUAAAAGGCCCCUCCAGCCUCUCUGCUACCAGCAGCAUCGAACCCAUAAAGAUAUUCCACUCGGCAUCCAAAUCCCCUUGGUUGGCCAAGCAGCCUCUCAUGACGUUAAAGCAGUAAUUGUAACAGGGCUUCACCGAUGUCAGACCUCGACAGUGCGGGCAGUACAUCAUUUUCAGCAGUGCCUGUGUACCCUGUGGUGUAGGGUUCACCGCAGACACUUUGCUGAUGACGUCCCUCGCCACAGCAAGGCCUUGCGCGAAGGUGCGGGCUGCCACAAAUGCUCGAGUCACUUGAAGCUUCAGCUUGCGCGGCACGUCCCCAAAGGGCUUCAGCUGCUCCGUGUACUUGCUGACACACUCAAGGUACUCAUCCGUGAAGUGGUACUGUGGGUUCACCAGCCGGAACAUGCGCUCCAACAGGCGCGCCCAGAAGUCGUUGAGCAUCUCCUCUAGGUUGACAUUGCCACCCACGUAGUACCGCUUCAGCUCCACGAAGAGGUCCUUGAACAGCUCUGAGUUCUGCAUGUACAACCGGCCGUACGUCCGCACAAACAUGUCGUUCAGUGACUUCUCAGCGUUCUCGAGAAGCUCUUUGAAGAACUCAUCAAACUUCUUGUAUCUGGAACUAAACAUCGUUUGCAAGUGAUUGCUAAGCUCUACAACGGCGUUUCUGAAGUCGUGUUUGCUCAGUUGACUGUAUCUCUCUUCCAUUUCUUGAGUGCAGCACGUGUAGGCUUGUGAGCAGACUUUCAAGUGGUCGCCGCUGAUCUCGUGGCUGGGCGCUUCGCUCUGGCUGAAGCCUUUGGCGGCGUAGAGCCUCCGCACUUCGGAGCAACUUUUAGCGCGGGGCUCGGCGGCCAGCAGCAGCGGCAGGCUGAGGGCGGCUAAAGUGCAGACGAGGGGCGGCAGGGAGCAGCGCCGCCGCGGCAUGGUGCGGGCGGGCGGGGGGGCCGCCGGGGCCGCGGCCGGGGCAGCGCGGCCCGAAGCCGGAGCCGGCCCUCCGCCGAGCCCGCGCCGCGCAGGAGCCGCGCCCGCUGCCGUGCACCCCUCUCCGCUCCGCUCCGGCUCCGCUCCGCUGGGCCGUGAGUGCGGCGGCGCUCUGCAAACUUGGCC